This 483-nucleotide unclassified non-coding RNA is filed under the name Hevea brasiliensis (rubber tree). Lineage: Eukaryota; Viridiplantae; Streptophyta; Magnoliopsida; Malpighiales; Euphorbiaceae. The record is from RNAcentral.
UUUACCCUCAUUCCAGUCAUGCAGAACAACUCUAGCAGCAGCUUCAACAUCCACAACUCCACCCUUUUUGAGCCUACCCCUGACACUAGCCACCUUUUGCAGAAAGUCAUCAACUGAUUCAAAGUUUGGUAUCUUGUAUAGGGUUACCAACAGUCUGGCAGGGCAAAGCUUGAUAAUUUCUUUAACAGGGCUAAUCGGAUCAUCUAGCUUCUCAAUCCUUUUGCAAUUACGAAGAGCUAUGGAUGCAUUGUUCUCCCCUGUCUUGAGCAAUACAACACCAGGACAAUCCAGCAAUUUAACAUUCUUGUCUAGCUGAACUUCUUGCAUUGAUCUUGUUAACCCAGGUGUAGCACCAACAUUGACAACAUGAGAUCUCUUCAAGCUGUUAAUUAGACUACUCUUGCCAACAUUAGGCAGGCCAAUUACACCAACUGUAAUAGAUUUUUUAAUAUCAUGACUUCUUGAGUAAUUUUUCAGCAAUUU